GAUGAACGCUGGCGGCGUGCCUAAUACAUGCAAGUCGAGCGAACAGACGAGGAGCUUGCUCCUCUGACGUUAGCGGCGGACGGGUGAGUAACACGUGGAUAACCUACCUAUAAGACUGGGAUAACUUCGGGAAACCGGAGCUAAUACCGGAUAAUAUAUUGAACCGCAUGGUUCAAUAGUAAAAGACGGUUUUGCUGUCACUUAUAGAUGGAUCCGCGCCGCAUUAGCUAGUUGGUAAGGUAACGGCUUACCAAGGCAACGAUGCGUAGCCGACCUGAGAGGGUGAUCGGCCACACUGGAACUGAGACACGGUCCAGACUCCUACGGGAGGCAGCAGUAGGGAAUCUUCCGCAAUGGGCGAAAGCCUGACGGAGCAACGCCGCGUGAGUGAUAAAGGUCUUCGGAUCGUAAAACUCUGUUAUUAGGGAAGAACAAAUGUGUAAGUAACUAUGCACGUCUUGACGGUACCUAAUCAGAAAGCCACGGCUAACUACGUG
This 497-nucleotide ribosomal RNA is filed under the name uncultured bacterium. RNAcentral describes it as "partial 16S ribosomal RNA". It matches the Rfam family "Bacterial small subunit ribosomal RNA", at positions 28 to 507 of the family's 1533-position model. The record is from RNAcentral.